Molecule: ribosomal RNA, 460 nt
Filed under: uncultured bacterium
Lineage: Bacteria
Description: partial 16S ribosomal RNA
Rfam family: Bacterial small subunit ribosomal RNA
Source: RNAcentral
CCUACGGGUGGCAGCAGUGAGGAAUAUUGGUCAAUGGACGAGAGUCUGAACUAGCCAAGUAGCGUGAAGGAUGACUGCCCUAUGGGUUGUAAACUUCUUUUAUAUGGGAAUAAAAUGUUCCACGUGUGGGAUUUUGUAUGUACCAUAUGAAUAAGGAUCGGCUAACUCCGUGCCAGCAGCCGCGGUAAUACGGAGGAUCCGAGCGUUAUCCGGAUUUAUUGGGUUUAAAGGGAGCGUAGGUGGAUUGUUAAGUCAGUUGUGAAAGUUUGCGGCUCAACCGUAAAAUUGCAGUUGAAACUGGCAGUCUUGAGUACAGUAGAGGUGGGCGGAAUUCGUGGUGUAGCGGUGAAAUGCUUAGAUAUCACGAAGAACUCCGAUUGCGAAGGCAGUUCACUGGACUGCAACUGACACUGAGGCUCGAAAGUGUGGGUAUCAAACAGGAUUAGAUACCCUAGUAGUC